GGCAGUUUAUGGGGAAAGCACAGGUAGCAUAAGCAAGGACUGAGAACACAGUACUUGCAAUUCCCCUUCUCUCCCAAGAGGUUUCCAGACAUCUGACAUUAGCAUUUUCUUUCACAGUGUGAAUGAUUUUAAGGAACAGGACUCGGUGACAGCUGGUGCACACUUGCAAAGCACAUCAGACCACUCUGAAGCUACUAUCAUGUUCUCCAGGAUCUCAGCUUACAUUAGUUAAAACCUUACAGUAAUUUCUGUUCAUGCUGCAAUGCUCCACCAUGUACCAUAUAUAACUAACAAAGAGAUAGCCAGGUAAAUUAGCCUGUCCAAGGUAUGAGAUGCUACUUUUGUUUCACUGAAGCUUUAACUAAAACUGGUAAUUUAGAUACUAACAUUAUUAUUUCAUUCUUCAUGGGAGACUGGAGCAUUAAAGCUCUGACCUUUCCUAUUUUCCACCAGCUGUCUUCUCUCAAAUAGGUGGUGACUGGGAUAUGCAACCAGCUGUAUCAUUCUCCUGUAAGAAAAAAGAAGCCAAACCUUACCACUGAGGGGAUCCUGGGGCACAUAUGUGUCCCCCUGAGAGGUCACUAGAGGAGCUCAGAACACCUGCCCCAUCACAUCCUGAGUAAUCAUCACUUUCCAGAAAUGAUGCCUUAUUUUGGAUUCACAUGGGCAGAGACAAUUUCUACAGAGAUGCUGCUUGAUGUUGGGAGUCUGACAAUCCUGACACAGGAGAGGAAAGGGACAAGAACAACCACAGACAAUACCCCAACCUCAGUAUUCACAUUUACUGCUGGAGCGCUCCCUAGGUAACAGUAUUUUGUUAUAAACUCCUUAAGGGAUGACUUGUGAUACCGUCAAUCAGCCUCUGGUAGCAAGCAAUAAGUUGUUUUACAGAAAAAGCUGAUGGAGCUGUAAUACCUCUGAGAAUACAAGGUGAAGGCAACUCCAAAAGCAACAAUGGGAAAACCGGGGAUUCUGCCUUACAUCCCCACCGAGGUGAUCAGCGUGAUGGGGGCAGAAGUGUGUAGUUACUUGCAGGCAUCAGCAUCAGGAGAUGCAGUUCUGCCAGAUCCCAAAAGAGAUGCACAAAAGAAGACUCCUCCUUGCAUCAUCUGCUCAUCCUCAACAGGCCUGCACAGGCUGCUCAUCACAACUACCCUGCUGUCACCUCCUCUGCUGCUGGAGCGAGACCUCCCAGCGGUUUCUGCAGCAACUGGAUACUUCACUUCAAGGCAGCUACUCUGUGUAAUUUCCAUCUGGAAGGAUGCCAGCAUGGAGUUUUCCCUGCACUCUGUUGUGAUGAACAUAGAUGCAAAUGACUGGUUCAGCUUUUCAUGAUAUGGGCUUGUUUUCUUUCUUUACCAUGGAAGGGCUUUAUGUUUGAAAAAUUAUGUAGAACUAGCUUUAUGCUUUUGCAGGUCAUUCCUCAGUAAUUAGCUCAAAGCUGUGUCACUCCCACUCUUGGCUUAUUUAUAAAAGAAUAAUUUCCUACAUGAGAAGAUGUUUCGCCUAAGUAACGGUAGCUAAUACCUUCUUAAACAUGAUGUCACUUGGAAUGUAAGAUAGGCAUGACCUAGCAUUAAUUGUGAUGUUCAAUAGUCAGUGCCAUGAUUUAAAUGUGAAGGAAAUACUCUCAGAGAAACAUUAAAAGAUCCAUAUGUAACAAUUUUCACACACCUUGGCAGAUAUAAGUAAAGUUAUGGAAAACAUUUCAGGGAUCUCUCAUCUUUCUUUCAUGUAUCUGCUCUGUACCUGUACAGAACAGGAAAGCCGGCUGUGUGAAAUGAGGGGUGUUAAACUGGAUUUUGAAGACAGAUUGGUGGCGAGUCAGACUGCAGUGUCAACAAGCCUGCACCCUGCCUCCAUCCUGCAGUCAGAGAAAAUGUUAAUUACUAUAAUUAAUAAUAUAAUACAUAAAACUUGCAUAUUAUCUAUAUUGUGUAUAUAUUCUAUACAUAAAUAUAUAUAAUGUAAUGUUAUGUAUUUUGUUUAUAAAUACGUUUCUUUUAAAAAUCUAUAAAGUAAUUUUAUGACCAUAAUCACGAUCAUAAAGGUUGUUGAUGACCACUAUCUGCUGGUGUGGCACAGCCAUGAAUAAGGAAAGUGUGAUGGGGAGAUAUGGGAGACAGAAGAUGGGAAGUUAUUAGUGAAUGAAAGCUAUUUGCAAGAUUCUACGUGAUUCUGAUUUAUUCCUGGUUAAGUAGGAUGCCAAGAAGAUGCAGAGAACAGUUUCAGAGAAACCCUAGCAGUAUAGUUAGAAAAGCAACAUUCACCUUGAAAAAAGAGGUUUAACUUGCACAGAUGUAAUGGGAGAACUCCGAUCAGUGAACAAUUUUCCAUUAUAAUCUUCAAGUGAUGCUAUCUAUCUCCUUUUCAUUGUCAAGGAAUAUUUCAAUUUACCAGGAAGC
This is a long non-coding RNA of Columba livia (rock pigeon), 2405 nucleotides long. RefSeq lists it as uncharacterized. NCBI's taxonomy places the organism in Eukaryota, Metazoa, Chordata, Aves, Columbiformes, Columbidae. The record is from RefSeq and is a predicted model, not a curated record. The transcript has 3 exons.